UACGUAGGCAGCGAGCGUUGUCCGGAGUUACUGGGCGUAAAGCGCACGCAGGCGGUCUCUUAAGUUUGGAGUGACAGUUGGUGGCUUAACUGCCAAAGUGCUUCGAAAACUGAGAGACUUGAGGGCUUCAGAGGGACACGGAAUUCCGGGUGGAGUGGUGAAAUGCGUAGAGAUCCGGAGGAACACCAAAGGCGAAGGCAGUGUCCUGGGGAGUACCUGACGCUCAGGUGCGAAAGCCAGGGGAGCGAACGGG
Molecule: ribosomal RNA, 253 nt
Filed under: uncultured bacterium
Lineage: Bacteria
Description: partial 16S ribosomal RNA
Rfam family: Bacterial small subunit ribosomal RNA
Source: RNAcentral